This 358-nucleotide ribosomal RNA is filed under the name uncultured bacterium. Its description in RNAcentral is "bacterial SSU rRNA". It matches the Rfam family "Bacterial small subunit ribosomal RNA", at positions 1 to 334 of the family's 1533-position model. The record is from RNAcentral.
CUAGCGACUUCAGAGUUUGAUCCUGGCUCAGGACGAACGCUGGCGGCGUGCUUAACACAUGCAAGUCGAACGGGGAUUAUUGGGAUGAGAGCUUCGGAAGGAUUUCUGAUAAUUCUAGUGGCGGACGGGUGAGUAACGCGUGAACAAUCUGUCCCAGACAGGGGAAUAACACUUGGAAACAGGUGCUAAUACCGCAUAAGACCACAGUAUCGCAUGGUACAGAGGUAAAAGGAGCAAUCCGGUUUGGGGUGAGUUCGCGUCCGAUUAGCCAGUUGGCGGGGUAACGGCCCACCAAAGCGACGAUCGGUAGCCGACCUGAGAGGGUGAUCGGCCACAUUGGAACUGAGAGACGGUCCAA